This 374-nucleotide ribosomal RNA is filed under the name uncultured organism. RNAcentral's name for it is "partial 16S ribosomal RNA". It matches the Rfam family "Bacterial small subunit ribosomal RNA", at positions 527 to 896 of the family's 1533-position model. The record is from RNAcentral.
GUAGGUGGCAAGCGUUGUCCGGAAUUAUUGGGCGUAAAGCGCGCGCAGGCGGUUCUUCAAGUCUGAUGUGAAAGCCCACGGCUCAACCGUGGAGGGUCAUUGGAAACUGGAGAACUUGAGUACAGAAGAGGAAAGCGGAAUUCCACGUGUAGCGGUGAAAUGCGUAGAGAUGUGGAGGAACACCAGUGGCGAAGGCGGCUUUCUGGUCUGUAACUGACGCUGAGGCGCGAAAGCGUGGGGAGCAAACGGGGGAUUAGAUACCCUGGUAGUCCACGCCGUAAACGAUGAGUGCUAAGUGUUAGGGGGUUUCCGCCCCCUUAGUGCUGCAGCUAACGCAUUAAGCACUCCGCCUGGGGAGUACGGCCGCAAGGCUG